This 520-nucleotide ribosomal RNA is filed under the name uncultured Glomus. RNAcentral's name for it is "SSU rRNA". It matches the Rfam family "Eukaryotic small subunit ribosomal RNA", at positions 569 to 1089 of the family's 1831-position model. Lineage: Eukaryota; Fungi; Glomeromycota; Glomeromycetes; Glomerales; Glomeraceae. The record is from RNAcentral.
AGCAGCCGCGGUAAUUCCAGCUUCAAUAGCGUAUAUUAAAGUUGUUGCAGUUAAAAAGCUCGUAGUUGAAUUUCGGGGUUAGUAGGUUGGUCAUGCCUCCGGUAUGUACUGGUCUCACUGAUUCCUCCUUCCUGAUGAACCGUAAUGCCAUUAAUUUGGUGUUGCGGGGAAUUUGGACUGUUACUUUGAAAAAAUUAGAGUGUUUAAAGCAAGCUAACGCUUGAAUACAUUAGCAUGGAAUAAUGAAAUAGGACGUUCGAUCCUAUUUUGUUGGUUUCUAGGAUUGACGUAAUGAUUAAUAGGGAUAGUUGGGGGCAUUAGUAUUCAAUUGUCAGAGGUGAAAUUCUUGGAUUUAUUGAAGACUAACUACUGCGAAAGCAUUUGCCAAGGAUGUUUUCAUUAAUCAAGACGAAAGUUAGGGGAUCGAAGACGAUCAGAUACCGUCGUAGUCUUAACCAUAAACCUAUGCCGACUAGGGAUCGGAUGAUGUUAAUUUUUAAUGUACUUCAUUCGGCGCCUU